Molecule: long non-coding RNA, 379 nt
Filed under: Vigna radiata
Lineage: Eukaryota; Viridiplantae; Streptophyta; Magnoliopsida; Fabales; Fabaceae
Description: long non-coding RNA (VRAD_LNC006529)
Source: RNAcentral
UCAUCGUGUGCCUUCAUUCUCCCAUUCAUUGAAAAUUAAAAGCGUAACCUAAGGGGUAGCGGUUGCACCACGUGCUCCCCAUUCUAGUGUACAAACAUUGCUAUCAUGAAGCUUCUCAUUCGCAUGCUUCAAUCAAAACAAAAACAUAAUGAGGGAUGCAGUCUCCUCAGCAAAGAAAAGGGAAAGUGCUACAUUGUAGUCGUUCAAGAAAGUUCUCUCCUCCUGCCCCCAAUGUAACAGUGUCGGCUCUCCUCCUCUGCCAGACCCUAGUCCUCCCUUAGCUAUUUCAAUUUUUAUUUCAUUUUGUACUUGAGAAGCUGGAUUCUCCAAGUUGUCCAUGUGCUGCCAAACAGGAUACUGUUUAAUUGCUGGAUGCACC